This is a non-coding RNA of Protopterus annectens (West African lungfish), 82 nucleotides long. The record is from the annotation of a RefSeq genome assembly. NCBI's taxonomy places the organism in Eukaryota, Metazoa, Chordata, Ceratodontiformes, Protopteridae.
AGUAGUGUGGCCGAGUGGUCUAUGGCACCGGAUUAAGGCUCCAGUCUCUUUGGAGGCGUGGGUUCAAAUCCCACCACUGCCA